UGAGUGGCGAACGGGUGAGUAAUACGUGAGUAACAGCCCUUGACUCUGGGAUAAGCCUGGGAAACUGGGUCUAAUACUGGAUACUACGUGCCCUCGCAUGGGGGUGUGUGGAAAGGGUUUUACUGGUUUUGGAUGGGCUCACGGCCUAUCAGCUUGUUGGUGGGGUAAUGGCCUACCAAGGCGACGACGGGUAGCCGGCCUGAGAGGGUGACCGGCCACACUGGGACUGAGACACGGCCCAGACUCCUACGGGAGGCAGCAGUGGGGAAUAUUGCACAAUGGGCGAAAGCCUGAUGCAGCGACGCCGCGUGAGGGAUGACGGCCUUCGGGUUGUAAACCUCUUUCAGCACGGAAGAAGCGAAAGUGACGGUACGUGCAGAAGAAGCGCCGGCUAACUACGUGCCAGCAGCCGCGGUAAUACGUAGGGCGCAAGCGUUGUCCGGAAUUAUUGGGCGUAAAGAGCUCGUAGGCGGUUUGUCGCGUCUGCUGUGAAAGCCCGGGGCUUAACCCCGUGGUGUGCAGUGGGUACGGGCAGACUAGAGUGCAGUAGGGGAGACUGGAAUUCCUGGUGUAGC
RNAcentral lists this ribosomal RNA (575 nucleotides) under Kocuria sp. SCULCB PT-12. RNAcentral describes it as "bacterial SSU rRNA". It matches the Rfam family "Bacterial small subunit ribosomal RNA", at positions 92 to 679 of the family's 1533-position model. The record is from RNAcentral. Lineage: Bacteria; Bacillati; Actinomycetota; Actinomycetes; Micrococcales; Micrococcaceae.